Long non-coding RNA from Balaenoptera ricei (Rice's whale), 1320 nucleotides. RefSeq lists it as uncharacterized. The transcript is spliced from 2 exons. Lineage: Eukaryota; Metazoa; Chordata; Mammalia; Artiodactyla; Balaenopteridae. The record is from RefSeq and is a predicted model, not a curated record.
CUCGCGCGUGCGACUUCAGCGGCGUCAGGGACGGAAAGGAAGGCGCCGGUGCGGGGGGCGGGGGUAAUUCGCUACCCAGAAGCCUCCGGAACCUGCGCGCAGCGCCCCUUGAGGGCGCCUCCUAGUGAUGUCAGACGGUGCCUAGCCCAGGAGGACGCAGGUGACGCCAUUAUCCCGUCUUGUCCCGCAGCCACCACCGCAAAGGCGAAAGGUAGUUCCGGCCCGCCUUCUUGUAUACAGUGGGGGCUCCCAGGAUGCCACGCGGCGCCUACAGUUCCCACCAUGCAGCGCAGCCUCCACGCCCUGGACGCAUCUCUGCGGGAGAGGCCGACGCGGCCGGCGAACUACAAGUCCCAUGGUGCAUGGCUACCGGAAGCGCGGGUACGCUGAUGCCUGCGCUGGCCGCACGUGGCCCGGGCGUUAUUGCACUGGUCCAGCCCGCUGACCUUCUGGGUCUCAGGUGGUUCCCAGCCGCGGGGACACGAGUUCGCUGUCCGGCCCGCCCAGUGGGGUGGGCGAGCCGCUCCGCGCGCUCACACCGCGGAACCGAGCCGCUGCUCGCCCCCCAGCGCCUUGGUGGUGGCUCUGGCCGAAGCUGGGAGGCCCUGUCACCGCUGCCCCGAGGAACGGAGCCAGGAGUGCUGAAGCCCGCGUGACUCCCCUCCCCCCCUCCCCCGCCCUGCCACCCCGCCCUGGCCUUGUCGGCUCGGGACAGAUCUCAGGGUCCACGCGGACGUAGCACACGUCACUCAUUCACUCUCCGUGUCAGGAACCCUGCUGCAGGCUGGCGUCGGUCCUGAGAGGGAACAGAUCCGGUUCUGCCUCCGCAGAACUCAGGUUCUAGUGCGGGGACACACAAAAGUAAAUAAACGAGGCAGUCCCAGGCUGACACUGCCACGGGGCUGAAGGAUGAGAAGGAGCCGGCCCUGCGAAGAUGUGGGGCGAGCGUCAGGCCCCAGGGGUCAGAUGCAAAGGCCCAACUAAGGUGGCCGGAGAUGGGUUCAGAGGCAGCAGCCAGCCCAUUCGGGCUCUGACAGCAGGUGAACCCACGUGUCAGCGCCAAGCACUGGUUUGUUAACGCAAGCCACACGGUACAACCCCCCCCCCCCGCCCCCCGCCGUCGUGUAGAUGAGGUCAGGCGUAGAAAGGUUUUCUUGCUCAGGGUCACACAGCUGCGGUAAAGUGGGGAAACCAUUUGGGAAGAAUGGGACUUAACUGCAAUCACACAAGAAAGUGUUGUGAUUGUUUUUAUUUAAAUUUUUUAAUGGUAAAAUAAUACAUAACGUAAAACUUACCAUUUUUAAAAAUUUUAUUUAUUUA